AACGAACGUUGGCGGCGUGGAUUAGGCAUGCAAGUCGCGGGAAUCCAGCAAUGGGGAACCGGCGUAAGGGGCAGUAAUGCGUGGGUACCUACCGCGGGGUUCGGGAUAGCCCUUCGAGAGAAGGGGUAAUACCGGAUGAUGUGGUGACACCAAAGUUCCGGCGCCCUGUGAGGGGCCCACGUGAUAUUAGCUAGUUGGUGGGGUAACGGCCCACCAAGGCAUAGAUGUCUAGCGGGUGUGAGAGCGCGACCCGCGCCACUGGCACUGAGACACUGGCCAGACACCUACGGGUGGCUGCAGUCGAGGAUCUUCGGCAAUGGGGGGCAACCCUGACCGAGCGACGCCGCGUGUGCGAUGAAGGCCU
RNAcentral lists this ribosomal RNA (364 nucleotides) under uncultured bacterium. RNAcentral's name for it is "bacterial SSU rRNA". It matches the Rfam family "Bacterial small subunit ribosomal RNA", at positions 28 to 417 of the family's 1533-position model. The record is from RNAcentral.